CGUGGGGCAGAGAUGAGGAGGAAAAGAAACUUCUGUUGGGCUAUUCUUUUUUUAACUCCUGUCUUACUUGUCUCCUAAUUACUGACUCCCAAGAUCCUGGGAAGAAACCAGGAAUUCUCUUUCUGUGCACAAUCAAGGAAAAUCCUUUAAGAAUGACGAGGGACCUGCCCUGUUCAAGAACCAGAAAUGCCCAUUCAUUGCAUCAGCAUUUACCUUGUAAAUAGACCAAAGCUGUGCUCCAAACCAACCCAUCACCAUCUGAAACAACACCCCAGUCCUCCCGAUAACAUCUGUUUUGCUGCUUUGGAGGACAUCUGACAGGGACCACAAGGAUUUAGUCACAGUGAAGAGCUAUGCUAAUAAUGGAGAACAAAACACUGGCAACAACAAAAGGGUGAAGUGAAAGGUGCUAAUCCCCCUACAGACAGAGGUCAUGUUAGGCAGCUCUGGCCAUCAAGCUUUUUAAACUGCUGAGGGGAAGACACUGACUGCUGCUGGUAGUGCAGACCUCAAAGUGCUUGAUAAACAAAACCUUUCCUGAUGCUUCCUGAGAUGGAUGUGGGGCAUGCGAUGGACAGCAAAUAAUUUGUUUGAAGUCAUGCACAGUCUGUCAAACACUGACUGAAUCCCUACUCCCACCUCCUGUCAGUUAUUGCUUCUCAAUCUUUCAUCUCACUACAUUGCCAAUAGAGGAAUGGCUCAUAAAACUCAGUAUGCCCUGUGGAUUACGUGUGUUUGCUACUGAAGGAAUGUCACUGGAUACUCUCAGAGGUAUGUUAAAAGGUAUCCAGAUUGUUAAAAGUGCGUUAAAAGUUCCCAGAUCCAGAGGGUUCAACAUAGGACUUAAAUAUGAGAGCAAGUGGAAGGAUAAAAUGAAGGCACCGAACAGCUCAGCACCUUCUGCCAAUAGCUGUGUCAAUUGCUACAGAAUACAUAUGAACAAGGCUAAAUUCUCUUUACUAGACAAGUGGCUGCAUAAGCACCCAGCUGGUAUCAGAGAGUAAUUCCAGGAUUUAUGGCUGACCAGACUGGAAACAGGUGUCCUACAUAGUUCCAUAAGGAAACGGAUCUCAAAGAUCAAUGUAGUAGCACAAGUGAAGACAGAGAAGGUAAAUUACAGACCUGAAGGAAGAGCUAUUUUACGUAGUGAAAAUGUUUAUAAUGCAGAUCCCAGCAAACUACGAAUGAGAAAUUCACAUAAGGAUUUAAAUGUCUUGUAUUGGAGAAGACAUUAAACACCUGACCCUUGCCUUUCUUCAUGACCUUCAAGAAGUUACAGAAGUCUGCCACAUCCUACCUCUGGCAUGACCAGAAAGGAGCCAAUGUGUACAGAAAAUCAGGGAACUAUGCUGGAAAUGUACAAUCAGGAGAACUUCAAUGUGACUACUGAGGCAUGCCAAGACAAUUUGGGUUGUUAUUUCUAGGUUACAAUAUAAGCAAAAGUUCAAUUUUUCCAUUUUGUUAAAUUAACAACACUUUUAGCUAGAGCAGAGAUGCAAUGCGAAGGCAGUGUGCAUUUCCUGCCCUAAAUGCCAGUCUGUUACCACAGAGCUCAUCCACAGACUACAGAGCCUGGGUGUCAGGUUCUCACCCCAGCUUGGUAGCUUCAUAUGCAAAACAGAAGAUGCUACAGCAGACUUAGAUGAUAGGUAAAGUCACCUUCCUGGUAAAUGAAUGUGCUCCCAGUCUGCCUGCUGUUCAUGUUACCUUGUUGCAACUUCCACAAGAAUUGUUCAUGCUCUGUGCAAGUCUUAAUUAUUUGCAUUUUAAGGCCAUCAUUGUCACGAACACUGAUGUGACUCAUAACUUUAAAAAAAAAAAAAAGCUCACAUUUGAGUUGCCAUCAAUAUAAUGGUUGAUUCUAAAACACUCCCUUCAAAAAGCUCAACUCAAUUUCCUCUUUUUCUGAACUUUUUUUUUUUUCACGUUUCUGACGUUUUGUUACUUUUAUGUGCAGAAGUAUGGUUAGCUCCACCAGCUUCUGUCCAAGAAACUGAGCAUAAAUUCACAGUGGUCAAGUCCAGUUAUUUCAGAUGACUACAGUAAUUAAAGUGUCAGCCUACUGAGACUGUGUGUGUGUGUCUGGAUGAGGGUUGAUCCGUACACAUCCAUGUGCCUCGGUCUCUCUCUGGCUCUGACCAUAUCCCUUCUCCGCUCCUUUCUCCCUUUUGCUCCAAAUCCACCUAUGUAUCUCUUAGGUACAUAAACUAGAAAAAACUUUUACUGUUCCUGCUCUCAUUCCAGGAUGAGCCUAAGGUAAUGAGGAAGUAGUUUUAAUAAGAGUAUUGCAUUACUUUUUUUUUUUCAGGUAGUUAGGUAAAUACAUAACAGUAAAACGGGUCUAGAUUUUUCUCUGCUGGAUUUCUGUUGGACUUUCAAAGCUUCUUGGAAACAAAUUUGUGAUGUGGAUCUCAUAUUUCUGCUUCUCUAUCCAUCAUUUUCUCAAAAGACCACAAUUGUUGAGCCUAAGAGAAGCCUACUGUAGUCUGAGUUACAGAUGAAGUACUGGAAAUCUUGUACAAAAAAAAAAAAAUGGGGGAUGGGGUGUGAGGGAGAGACAGAAUAUGUGGGAGCCAAAGUUAGGAUUAUGAAGUCUGCCAUAUGAAAAAGAAAAAAAUGAAAAGUGUGCCGUAACAGCUUACUAAUGAGAUUUAGAAAAACAGCCAACAGGCACCAAAACAAACAUAAAAAUAGAACAAUGCACUGCAUAGGAACAGCUAUCGUAACUCAGAUGUCUCAGAGUUCCCCCCUCUGAAAAAGGGGAAUUUUCUCUAUCAGAUGAAUAAAUGACCCAGACAUGCCCUCCGCAUCCAACAGCUUCAGCAGUGCUUUGAAAUUCUUCAGUCUUUGAUGAUGAGGCCUACAUAUUUAGAUAAAGUGUAGCAUUUCCAGAGAGGCAUGUAGGAAUUCAAAACAAAUACAGCCUUUGCAUGACUGUGCAGUUGCACAGAAUUCUUACAAGGAAGCUCUGCUUGUGAGAACCAGGGCCUUUCCAGCGCUGGGAAAACUGAGAUGUCAGUAGGGGUUGAAAGAGACGAGGCAACAUUUCUGUUGAGGGGAUUCAUAUGCACAUGAUGUAGGAGGAAGAGUCACUUAUUUAAUUGCUGACGUACACAGGUUUGUGUUUGUGGUUCAGGCACAAAAACAGGGCUACUGCUUCUAGGGGAUCUGUGACAGGAUGUGAAAACUGAGCAGUGGCAUCCGAGACAUGAUUCAUACGGCGCGCUGCGAAACUCUGCGUACUGCAGGAAUCCAAGAUGCUGAAGUGAGCUAGUCCUGGAUCUGCAAAUAAAUAAUUAUUGGGAGUGGUCCUUUCUGUUCCUUCCCAGUUCCUUUCAAAUCUUUUACCAGUGAGGACACAGAAUUACAGAACACAGCAUCAAAUCUAGUGUUAGUCCUGACUUUAUGUUCUUGUACAGCUUGCUAGCUUACAAUAUACUCGAAAAGUACUAGAUCUUAGAGACACGGAGUGAUGUAAGAUGUUCGUGUUGGGUUGCUUGUUCACUGUGCAGCCUAGCAUCUUUCAGAGAUGCCUUUCUAUUUGUACCUGAAGGUGUGAUCUUGUAUUUGUAGCUGAAUAGUGCCAUUUAGAAAGUGAACAUCAGAGCACAAACAAGAUAUGCCCAACUGACCAUGGCUCGUCCAUCAGCAAAUCAAUCAAUGCUGCUUCCAGCUCAGAGUUUUAAGGUAAAGUGUCACUGUUUUCCUUAAAAAUGCAGUGAUGAUGGGGAGGCGCUUCAUUAGCUCAUAGAUGUUUGUAAAGCUGGACAGGAGCGAGGAACGGCUGCCAGUAAUGUUCCCAGCUGUCCCAAGCUAAGCUAUUCUUCAUCAACUUCUCAACUUCUCCAUCAGAGCCUUCAGUAGAUGAACCUGUUUCUGACCACUCUCUCCUCUAUAGUAUUUACAACUCUUCCAGGCUCUGUGUCACAGUUUUUGUUCAAAGAGAUUUUACAUUGACUUUUUUUUAAUCGUUACUAUAAAUCCUAAAUAACAUCAGUUCUACUCUUGGUUUCUGCACAACCGUUUACAAUCAUCUCCACUGACGGGUAAUUCCUUUUGAGCCAUGCCUGUCACCACACACCUGACCCAUGCAGUGUGAGCUUUCUUGAUAGAAUACGGUGUCAGCUUUCCAGAAAAAUAUCUGAGAACCAUCCAAGUAUAUUAUACCUGCACCAUUACCCUCAAGAGCAACUUUGUAAUUUAACAAGAAACAAAACAAAUUUGACAAGUCCUUUUUCAAUAAAGCCACAUCAGCUGCUACUGUUAUAUUCUCAUCUCGUGAUUCCUUGUUACGUCCUGUAUCUGCAUUUAGUGUCUGAUUAGUGUCAGAUAAAUUGAUCCAUUACUCACCUGUCGGAAUUGAAUACUUACAGUCAGUUUUCAUGUCUUGCAGAAUUUCUGCACUAAUUAGAGCUUUAUUAAAAAUUAAUAUGGAUUCUUACUUCCUGAGAUCCUAUAUGCAAACUCCUUUAGGACUCUCAAAUUCAAGUUUUUUAGGACUCACAUACUUUAAAGUGUUUCUAAGAAAAGCUGUUCAGUGCCCUUCUUAAUAAUGACAAGUUAAUGACAGUGCCCUUCUUUAUAAUGAUCUUCACAUAAUAUAACAUAAAUAAUUACAUAUUUUUUCAACUAUAGAAUAAAUGUAUUACCUGUAUCUAUCUAGAUAUAUUGGCCUACAAUACUGUUAAGAUUUAGAAAACUUGAGUUGUACCCAAAACUGUCAACCACUGAUGUUCUCAUCCAUUUUUCUACACUUUAUAACUCGUAAUGAUUGUUUCCUUUUUUCUACUUGUUGUACAUCUUUAUUUCAAACUGCUGUGUUCAGUUCCCCACAAAGCUAGAAAUGCAUUUUGCUGAAUCUCCCUUCUUUCUUGAUGACAAUAUCCUGACUUAAAUGACUCAACUUCUUCUUUACUCCCCCUACUUUUAUACAGUUCUUCUAUGUAAUUUGACUUCUUGCUCAGUCGUUCAUUUUCUGCAGCUUUUUGGGGAACAAGCCACAAUGUAUGCCUUGGGAGCAAGAUGUAGUGUCUGUGUGUGUUUAUCUAAACAGUCAGGCAAGCCUAACUCUCACACUAGUAGUUAUUUUAUCUUUACCAAAAGAAAGUCUGUUGUUACUUUCUCUAAUAGGAUUUUUUUCUGGGGGGUGGUGGUGUGAGAAAAUCAUUAGCUAUGAUUUUUAGGAAGUC
Anas platyrhynchos (mallard) is the source of this 5189-nucleotide non-coding RNA. The record is from RefSeq and is a predicted model, not a curated record. Lineage: Eukaryota; Metazoa; Chordata; Aves; Anseriformes; Anatidae.